ACCGGAUAAGACAGCUGGAUGAUAGCCGGGCUGAAGACUCUGCUUGACUAGCUGAGAGGAGGUGCAUGGCCGUCGUCAGUUCGUACUGUGAAGCAUCCUGUUAAGUCAGGCAACGAGCGAGACCCACGCCAACAGUUGCCAGCAUGUCCUCCGGGAUGAUGGGGACACUGUUGGGACCGCCUCUGCUAAAGAGGAGGAAGGAAUGGGCAACGGUAGGUCAGCAUGCCCCGAAUUAUCCGGGCUACACGCGGGCUACAAUGGUCAGGACAAUGGGUAUCGACACCGAGAGGUGGAGGCAAUCUCCUAAACCUGUCCUUAGUUCGGAUUGUGGGCUGCAACUCGCCCACAUGAAGCUGGAAUCCGUAGUAAUCGCGUUUCAAAAUAGCGCGGUGAAUAUGUCCCUGCUCCUU
This 410-nucleotide ribosomal RNA is filed under the name uncultured Methanolinea sp. Its description in RNAcentral is "bacterial SSU rRNA". It matches the Rfam family "Archaeal small subunit ribosomal RNA", at positions 929 to 1338 of the family's 1478-position model. The record is from RNAcentral. Lineage: Archaea; Methanobacteriati; Methanobacteriota; Methanomicrobia; Methanomicrobiales; Methanoregulaceae.